UAAUGCGUUGGAUUAUUUUAUGCAAAGUCCAAAAUCAGAAGCAACACAUUAGUAUAAUGAUUUACACGCAGAAACAGUCGUCAAACGUAGAGAUAAUGAGGAGUCACGCGUCGUUGGAGGUGGCGAAGACGGUGUUGGAGGUGGCCGACGUGGCCUGGACCGCCAUUGAAAGCCACCACAGGGAAACGCCCAUUUUGCCUCCGCCCCCGGGCAAAGAAGAUUUGGAAUUGGAAUCCUUACGAUCCGAAAAUCAACGCCUCAGGAACUUACUUCAACAAAAUCUGACCCUUUUCCGAAACAUAUCAUCGGCACCUUCUUUAUUACAGAAUUGCCCUCCCGAUUUGCAUGAGCGCCUUUUAGCAGUUGUGAAUUCUGAAAGAUUCCUGGAUCAACUCGAAAAUCUGAGGCAGAACUCUAUGGAGGGUGCUGCGUGCAAGUUUCCAUUUAACGAGCCGUCAGAUAAAGAUUUGGAGAAAGUGGAGAUUUUGAUUAAUGUUGGUCACGAAGAGCCGAGUUGGUGGGUCUGGGUCACUGAGGACAUGGUUCCGAGCAACACUGAAGAGCGGAGUGAAAUUGAUAAUGACAAUUAUGUAGUUGUGAAUGAGGAGCAAGUGGUGGAAGGGGUGGCCAAUUUCAUGGCCAGAUGCUUGGUGGCGAACCCGAAAUCUCAGAAAUUGACUCCUGAGCAGCUGCAGGGAGGGUAUUUACCAAUUAUAGAAUGGAAAUUACAUUUCCUGGCUUAAAGAGUUAUGGUGCAGCAGGAAGUUUUAUUCGAAAACGUCCAGCCAUCACAAAAGCAUUGGGAGGCAUGAAUAAGGUGGAGAAGGCAUUAAACAUUUGGCAUGCGGGAAUGAUGUUGUACACCCUGGGCAUGUGGGGACUUGCUCUAACUGGUUUGUACAAGAGUCGAGCCAUUCUGAGACUUGCUGCAACGGGGGUGCAUACUUCGAGCAAAGCAGUACUGAAGGUCUUCUGAAUGUAGCUUUUUUUCUUUCAUCUGCAACACAAACGGUUCUUGAACAGAACCAUUUAGCAACUUUGUGUACAUACCAAGGGAGCUUGCCACUGCCUUUGUAUAUAACUGUGAAUAGAAUUGGGUUUGAAAUUGUCUAGUGAAGUUUCUUGUGUUGUUACAAUGUAUGACUAUUUGUAAAACUACAUUAUUUUAUCAAUUAUUUUGAAUUGUU
This is an RNA transcript of Olea europaea var. sylvestris, 1187 nucleotides long. RefSeq lists it as uncharacterized. Lineage: Eukaryota; Viridiplantae; Streptophyta; Magnoliopsida; Lamiales; Oleaceae. The transcript has 7 exons. The record is from RefSeq and is a predicted model, not a curated record.